This 459-nucleotide ribosomal RNA is filed under the name uncultured bacterium. RNAcentral's name for it is "partial 16S ribosomal RNA". It matches the Rfam family "Bacterial small subunit ribosomal RNA", at positions 338 to 795 of the family's 1533-position model. The record is from RNAcentral.
CCUACGGGAGGCAGCAGUGAGGAAUAUUGGUCAAUGGCCGGAAGGCUGAACCAGCCAAGCCGCGUGAAGGACGAAGGUGCCCAGCAUUGUAAACUUCUUUUGUCAAGGGACAAAAUCAGGCUCGAGAGCCUGCCCGAGGGUACUUGAAGCACAAGCAUCGGCUACGUCCGUGCCAGCCGCCGCGGUAAUACGGGGGAUGCGAGCGUUAUCCGGAUUUAUUGGGUUUACAGGGUGGGUAGGCGGACUGUUAAGUCAGCGGUAAAAGCCCGGGGCUCAACCCCGGCGAGCCGUUGAAACUGGCUGGCUUGAGAUGUCGAGAGGUAUGCGGAAUGCGCAGUGUAGCGGUGAAAUGCUUAGAGAUUGCGCAGAACACCGAUGGCGAAGGCAGCAUACCGGCGGCGAUCUGACGCUGAGGCACGAAAGCGUGGGUAUCGAACAGGAUUAGAUACCCGAGUAGUC